AAGAACGCAGCGAAAUGCGAUAAGUAGUGUGAAUUGCAGAAUUCAGUGAAUCAUCGAAUCUUUGAACGCACAUUGCGCCCCUUGGUAUUCCAUGGGGCAUGCCUGUUCGAGCGUCAUUUGUACCUUCAAGCUCUGCUUGGUGUUGGGUGUUUGUCUCGCCUCUGCGUGUAGACUCGCCUCAAAACAAUUGGCAGCCGGCGUAUUGAUUUCGGAGCGCAGUACAUCUCGCGCUUUGCACUCAUAACGACGACGUCCAAAAGUACAUUUUUACACUCUUGACCUCGGAUCAGGUAGGGAUACCCGCUGAACUUAAGCAUAUCAAUAAGCGGAGGA
Molecule: unclassified non-coding RNA, 333 nt
Filed under: soil metagenome
Description: partial contains 5.8S ribosomal RNA, internal transcribed spacer 2, and large subunit ribosomal RNA
Rfam family: 5.8S ribosomal RNA (bases 1-116)
Source: RNAcentral